RNAcentral lists this ribosomal RNA (485 nucleotides) under uncultured bacterium. RNAcentral's name for it is "partial 16S ribosomal RNA". It matches the Rfam family "Bacterial small subunit ribosomal RNA", at positions 30 to 507 of the family's 1533-position model. The record is from RNAcentral.
AUUGAACGCUGGCGGCAGGCUUAACACAUGCAAGUCGAGCGGGGAAAGGUAGCUUGCUACCUGACCUAGCGGCGGACGGGUGAGUAAUGCUUAGGAAUCUGCCUAUUAGUGGGGGACAACAUCUCGAAAGGGAUGCUAAUACCGCAUACGUCCUACGGGAGAAAGCAGGGGACCUUCGGGCCUUGCGCUAAUAGAUGAGCCUAAGUCGGAUUAGCUAGUUGGUGGGGUAAAGGCCUACCAAGGCGACGAUCUGUAGCGGGUCUGAGAGGAUGAUCCGCCACACUGGGACUGAGACACGGCCCAGACUCCUACGGAAGGCAGCAGUGGGGAAUAUUGGACAAUGGGGGGAACCCUGAUCCAGCCAUGCCGCGUGUGUGAAGAAGGCCUUUUGGUUGUAAAGCACUUUAAGCGAGGAGGAGGCUACCGAGAUUAAUACUCUUGGAUAGUGGACGUUACUCGCAGAAUAAGCACCGGCUAACUCUGUG